AACGAACGCUGGCGGCGCGCCUAAUACAUGCAAGUCGAGCGAGAAGACGUAGCAAUACGUUUGUAAAGCGGCGAACGGGUGAGGAAUACAUGGGUAACCUACCCUCGAGUGGGGAAUAACUAGCCGAAAGGUUAGCUAAUACCGCGUACGCUCCUUGGACUUCGGUUCAGGGAGGAAAGCGAUACCGUGGGUAUCGCGCUCUUGGAUGGGCUCAUGUCCUAUCAGCUUGUUGGGAGGUAACGGCGUCACCAAGGCUUCGACGGGUAGCUGGUCUGAGAGGACGAUCAGCCACACUGGCACUGCGACACGGGCCAGACUCCUACGGGAGGCAGCAGUAAGGAAUAUUGCGCAAUGGGCG
Molecule: ribosomal RNA, 358 nt
Filed under: uncultured bacterium
Lineage: Bacteria
Description: bacterial SSU rRNA
Rfam family: Bacterial small subunit ribosomal RNA
Source: RNAcentral